Rhinopithecus roxellana (golden snub-nosed monkey) is the source of this 1723-nucleotide RNA transcript. It is a transcript of the gene named dnaJ homolog subfamily C member 11 pseudogene, with no coding region annotated. The record is from RefSeq and is a predicted model, not a curated record. The transcript has a single exon. NCBI's taxonomy places the organism in Eukaryota, Metazoa, Chordata, Mammalia, Primates, Cercopithecidae.
AUGGCGACGGCCUUGAGUGAGGAGGAGCUGGACAAUGAAGACUAUUACUCCUUGCUGAACGUGCGCAGGGAGGCCUCUUCUGAAGAGCUGAAAGCUGCCUACCAGAGGCUGUGUAUGCUCUACCAUCCAAACAAGCACAGAGACCCAGAGCUCAAGUCACAGGCGGAACGACUGUUUAACCUUGUUCAUCAGGCUUAUGAAGUGCUUAGUGACUCCCAAACCAGGGCCAUCUAUGAUAUAUAUGGGAAAAGAGGACUGGAAAUGGAAGGAUCAGAGGUCGUGCAAAGGAGGAGAACCCCAGCUGAAAUUUGAGAGGAGUUUGAGCGGCUGCAGAGACAGAGGGAAGAGAGGAGACUGCAGCAGCGAACCAAUCCCAAGGGAACGAUCAGCGUUGGAGUAGAUGCCACUGACCUUUUUGAUCACUAUGAUGAGGAGUAUGAAGAUGUGUCCGGCAGUAGCUUUCCGCAGAUUGAAAUUAAUAAAAUGCACAUAUCCCAGUCCAUUGAGGCACCCUUGACAGCGACAGACACAGCCAUCCUCUCUGGAAGCCUCUCAACCCAGAAUGGAAAUGGAGGAGGUUCCAUUAACUUUGCGCUCAGACGAGUAACUUCGGCAAAGGGAUGGGGAGAGUUGGAAUUUGGAGCCGGAGACCUGCAGGGACCUUUAUUUGGUCUCAAGCUGUUCCGUAAUCUCAUACCAAGAUGCUUUGUGACAACAAACUGUGCUCUGCAGUUUUCAUCCCGUGGAAUCCGACCCGGUCUGACCACCGUCCUAGCUUGGAACCUAGACAAGAACACCGUGGGCUACCUGCAGUGGCGAUGGGGUAUCCAGUCAGUCAUGAGCACUAGCAUCGGCCGGGACACUAAAACCAGCCACUGUGGCCCUGCAGCUGGGAAUCCCUCACUCCUUUGCACUGAUCAACUAUCAGCACAAAUUCCAAGAUGACGAUCAGACUCGCGUGAAAGGAUCCCUCAAAGCAGGCUUCGUUGGGACGGUGGUGAAGUACGGAGCCGAGAGGAAGAUCUCCAGGCACAGCGUUUUGGGUGCAGCUGUCAGCAUUGGAGUUCCACAGGGCGUUUUUCUCAAAGUCAAGCUCAAAAGGGCCAGUCAGACAUACUUCUUCCCUAUUCACUUGACGGACCAGCUUCUGCCCAGCGCCGUCUUCCAUGCCACCGUGGUCUACUUUGCCGUGCACUGUCUGAUCAUCAAACCAUACCUCAGGGCUCAGAAAGAGAAGGAAUUGGAGAAGCAGAGGGAAAGCGUCGCCACCGACGUGCUGCAGAAGAAGCAAGAGGCAGGAGUCCGCUGUCUGGCUGACGUAGGAAUCUGUCCGAAGGAUAUUUGAGGCAGAAGAGUCCAGAAUGGGCCUCAUCAUCGUCAAUGCCUGGUACGGGAAGUUUGUCAAUGAUAAGAGCAGGAAGAGUGAGAAGGUGAAGGUGAUUGACGUGACUGUGCCCCUGCAGUGCCUGGUGAAGGACUCGAAGCUCAUCCUCACGGAGGUCUCCAAGGCUGGGCUGUCUGGCUUUUAUGACCCGUGUGUGGGGGAAGAGAAGAACCUGAAAGUGCUCUAUCAGUUCCCGGGCGUCCUGCAUCAGGUGAUGGUGCUGGACAGUGAGGCCCUCCGGAUACCAAAGCAGUCCCACAGGAUCGAUACAGAUAGGUAAAUUGCCAAGAACCAGAUUUUUAAAAGGCUGCAAAAAAUAUUUUCCUGGGAGUCUACAAA